UUGUCAAUUGAGAUGCUAAUACAUGGAUUGCUCAAUCUGAGGGUGGAUUCAUGGACUUGAUACUGUCAAAAGUAACAUCCUGUACGGUGGAAACUCUGGAGCUUCACUGCAUUUUUGGCAAUGGUGUGAGAUCCAAACAAAAUAUCUGGGAUAAGGAUGCAACAGGGACGUUUUUUAAGCCGAUUGCAUUGCAUCGUGCUUUAUGAACGGGAGCUGUCCGUCAUGGUAAUGGUGGAAGCAGAUGCCACUACGGUGGAAUGGAAUUGGAAGUUCAACCUAUUAAACACGAGAGGACCGCGGAAAUGACCAACUAGGGUCCUAGCUAGAAAUGUCUAUUAUAUCGGGUGUAACGAUAGUAACUUUUCUUGAAGGAUGCUAAUUUUCCUCAUAACUGUGGUUAUGUUACUUCUAAAUUGUACUUAAUGUUACUUAUAAACAUGCAUAUAAAGAUUGCAAUUAAUCUCUCGUAUAACUAAGACUAAGAAUACCUGUUAGUAGUUUUCCCAUAAGAUCCUAAUUCUCCGCAAACAGCCAUAGAUACCCAACGAUACCUAUCAUUAGCACCUCAUUCAUAAGCACAAUAAUUCUUUUUCUUCUGCCGAUUGUUGCCAUGUACAUAAGAAGCAUAUAUUUUCAGUGUAAAUAUUAAGGCAAAAUUACGUAAAAAGUUAAAAAGAAGAUGAAAGAGGGAGCAGAUAGUGGGAGUAGGUGAGGUUGAAAGUGGCAUAGGAAGCUGCUCUCCCUUCUAUACGGUCAACAAAUUAAUCAACCUACUCAUUUUCACGAGUCUCUCGCGGUCUCUUUUCCGAAGAUCAAAACUCAAUCGGAUGCAGGGGAAGGCAGAGAUUUGCA
Molecule: long non-coding RNA, 852 nt
Organism: Syzygium oleosum
Lineage: Eukaryota; Viridiplantae; Streptophyta; Magnoliopsida; Myrtales; Myrtaceae
Exons: 3
Source: RefSeq, a predicted model, not a curated record